AGCAGCCGCGGUAAUUCCAGCUCCAAUAGCGUAUAUUAAAGUUGUUGCAGUUAAAAAAGCUCGUAGUUGAAUUUCGGGACCAAUAUGUUGGUCGUGCCUCGGUACGCACUGGCAUUAUUGGUUUCCUCCCUUCUGACGAACUACGAUGCCAUUAAUUUGGUGUCGUAGGGAAUCAGGACUGUUACUUUAGAAAAAAUUAGAGUGUUUAAAGCAGGCCCGCGCUUGAAUACAUUAGCAUGGAAUAAUGAAAUAGGACGUUUGAUUCUAUUUUGUUGGUUUCUAGGAUCGACGUAAUGAUUAAUAGGGAUAGUUGGGGGCAUUAGUAUUCAAUUGUCAGAGGUGAAAUUCUUGGAUUUAUUGA
RNAcentral lists this small RNA (361 nucleotides) under uncultured Entrophospora. RNAcentral's name for it is "SSU rRNA". It matches the Rfam family "Eukaryotic small subunit ribosomal RNA", at positions 569 to 932 of the family's 1831-position model. The record is from RNAcentral. Lineage: Eukaryota; Fungi; Glomeromycota; Glomeromycetes; Entrophosporales; Entrophosporaceae.